UACCUUAUUCGUCAGGUGUUUGAAAUUAAACAAACAAAAAAUAGGAAGAAAAAAUUUAUAUUGGCCUUGAUAACGAAUCUUCUCGAAAUCGAUAUAGUACUGUUUUACUAUGCUGCUUUCGAAUGGUGGUACGGGGCUAGGGAAUCAUCCCUUCAAAGGAUCAAUAGGGAAGCGGCUUCAGUAAGAGGAUAUAAUCGAUUGCGUUGGGAAAGGUUUUUCGAAGGAACGUCCAACGGUUCAUACGGAUCAUGGGUCAAAGUUGAAUUUUUGCUCUAAUGCGGGAACGUUCCUUCGUAGAAAAGUAAGUUUCCUCGCCGAUUCUCUUUGGAUUCUAUUUUUUUGCAACUUCAGAAGGAUUCAAUGCAGUCGGGAAGGGAACGAUAAGGAAAACCUUAGGGCGAUUAAUAGUGAUUCCGAAAAAGAUGUUCUGCGAAUCAUUAUUGAAGAAGAAGAAGAGGAUGAAGAUGAAGAAGAAGGAGAUACAGGGGAUGAAGUAGUAGAGGAGAUAUACUAAACCAACCGAAGACGAAAACAGUUCCGAUAGCCUGGAGGUAUUGCAAAGGAGCCGAAUUGAUUUAUAUUUGAAUUGUAAUUCCAAAAAAGAUAAAAAAAUUUCAACAACGCUCCACCAGAUAAUAUAACAUUGCACAUCCAAAGUGAAAAGCAAUCACAUUGAUUCUAUCUAUUCUUACGUACAUACGACGAUACGAUUGUACAACAUGGAUAGUACAAAUGCCAGAAAAACAAUAAGAUUACUAUAUGAACACAUUUUCCUUUUUAAAAUUGCUUAUAAAUGGAAAAACAAUCAACGCUGUGUUUAUUUAAUGAUAAGAUAUUUUAGAGAUAUGAUAAAUUUUUUAUUCUAAAAUGUAAUGUCGAAUAUAAAGUCUAUAACAUAUUUAUUUAUUUUAUAAUAAUUUAUUGAAUAUUUUCGUAGAUUAUAUGCAGUCGAAGAAAGUAUUAUUAUUUAUAAGUGAAUUUAUCUCAUAUAUUCUAAAUGGUACGAAUCCCAAAUGGGAGUAAUUAUCCGAUAAGUACUAUAAUAUGGAAAUGAAAUCUUUUAAUAAAUCUUAUACAAAUAUAAUGUCAAAUUUAAUGAAUAUUAAUGGAAUAAUAGAAUGAUUAGUGAUAAAGAUGAUAGCUAGGGAUUAUUUCGCGUAUGAGACACACUUGCGUAUUACUGGGUCGCAAAUCCCGGAAGGAAUGACUUAACCUAGUUUAAUUAGCCACAUGUUAGCUGGAUAGAAGACCAAGCUUCCUAAAAUCUAAUUAUCUAACUAGAACGCAUGGGGAUAAAUAAUUUCCCCACUCCUAUAGUUAUGUAAUUAUAUGUAUAUAUACUCUAUGUUCAUGCGAAAUUAUCUGUGUAAUAUAUCAUGGAAUUUCCUAAUGAGAAUCUUACAAUAAUUCGUCUAUUUUUUAAUUGAAAUAAUCACAUAAAACUGUAAUUAUUUAUAAUAUAAUUAAUUAUUAUAAUAAUAAUUAUUGUAAUUAUGAAGACUAAUUCUUAUGAAGUUAAUCGGAUAUUAAUAUAGGAAAUUCGCACUGUUAUUUUUUUUGUAAGUCUGACUUAUGCUUAAUAGUAUUCUAUUAUCAGUAUUCUAUUAUUCAUAAUGAUAUUAUGGAUAUUAUAGUAUUCUAUUACCAGUAUUCUAUUAUUCCUAAUGAUUCUAUAUAGUAUUCUAUUAUUCAUAAUGAUAUCACUAUAAAUUUUCGUGCUACGUAUAUACUAUGUAAUUCUUAUAGUAAAAUCAUCUCUCUUAAAAAAUUUUUUCGUCGGAAGUUAUAUCUACUGCCAUAUUGCAUGAAAACAUUUUCUCCAAAUAUUAUUUCCUUUUCUUGUAAACAAAUGCAUAUUGCUCAAGUUAUCGAAGAUAGCAUUUUCGCUAUUCCAUAAUAAUAAAAAACGAAUUCGGAGAAAA
Long non-coding RNA from Vespula vulgaris, 1922 nucleotides. RefSeq lists it as uncharacterized. NCBI's taxonomy places the organism in Eukaryota, Metazoa, Arthropoda, Insecta, Hymenoptera, Vespidae. The record is from RefSeq and is a predicted model, not a curated record. The transcript is spliced from 4 exons.